CUAUUUUUGUUUAUCAUUGAAAUCCAUCUUAUUCAUGAUGAAUAUUUUGUUAUGAAAAUUAUUUUAGUCUUAAAGAUAUAUUUGUCUAGUCUCUAGUUGAUUUAGAGAAAAACUACAGUAAUCCCAUUAUUUUAUAUCAUGGAAGAUUCAUAAUACAAAUUUUGUGUCUUUAUGCUUGGUUUGAUUUGUAAUCACUAGAUUUGAUAUUGUUGAGUUAUUGUCUAUUUUAAUUAGCACACAGGGGGU
Molecule: long non-coding RNA, 246 nt
Filed under: Elaeis guineensis (African oil palm)
Lineage: Eukaryota; Viridiplantae; Streptophyta; Magnoliopsida; Arecales; Arecaceae
Description: long non-coding RNA (EGUI_LNC036819)
Source: RNAcentral